GACGAACGCUGGCGGCGUGCCUAAUACAUGCAAGUUGAGCGCUGAAGGUUGGUACUUGUACCAACUGGAUGAGCAGCGAACGGGUGAGUAACGCGUGGGGAAUCUGCCUUUGAGCGGGGGACAACAUUUGGAAACGAAUGCUAAUACCGCAUAAAAACUUUAAACACAAGUUUUAAGUUUGAAAGAUGCAAUUGCAUCACUCAAAGAUGAUCCCGCGUUGUAUUAGCUAGUUGGUGAGGUAAAGGCUCACCAAGGCGAUGAUACAUAGCCGACCUGAGAGGGUGAUCGGCCACAUUGGGACUGAGACACGGCACAAACUGCUACGGGAGGCAGCAGUAGGGAAUCUUCGGCAAUGGACGAAAGUCUGACCGAGCAACGCCGCGUGAGUGAAGAAGGUUUUCGGAUCGUAAAACUCUGUUGGUAGAGAAGAACGUUGGUGAGAGUGGAAAGCUCAUCAAGUGACGGUAACUACCCAGAAAGGGACGGCUAACUACGUG
This 497-nucleotide ribosomal RNA is filed under the name uncultured bacterium. Its description in RNAcentral is "partial 16S ribosomal RNA". It matches the Rfam family "Bacterial small subunit ribosomal RNA", at positions 28 to 507 of the family's 1533-position model. The record is from RNAcentral.